Pipistrellus kuhlii (Kuhl's pipistrelle) is the source of this 224-nucleotide long non-coding RNA. RefSeq lists it as uncharacterized. Lineage: Eukaryota; Metazoa; Chordata; Mammalia; Chiroptera; Vespertilionidae. The record is from RefSeq and is a predicted model, not a curated record. The transcript is spliced from 2 exons.
CUUCGAAUACUGUACUUUUUAUCUUCAAAAAAAAGACUGCUGACCGGUGAGGAUUAUAAACUUCAAACUCUGCCUUCUCCCAGGAUUCUUCCCAUCUGCUGGGCCACUCUGCACUUAUUAACGUACCUACUUUAUGAACUUUAAAACUUUACCCAUUACAAGUAUUUCUUUUAGUUAUAAUGUGUAUUUUUUAACAAACAAAACGUAUAUGUGAUUUUAACAAA